Molecule: long non-coding RNA, 1605 nt
Organism: Homo sapiens (human)
Lineage: Eukaryota; Metazoa; Chordata; Mammalia; Primates; Hominidae
Exons: 3
Source: RefSeq, a predicted model, not a curated record
GGCACGGAGAUCACUAUCUUUCAUAAAGCAAUGAAGAAUGGACAGGGAGAACUGCUGGCUGAAAAUAUGAGAAGCCAGCACAUCCUGAAAGAAAUACCCUAGAUCCGCUUAAUGGGAAACGAAGCAGCUGGAACCCUAAACAGAACUGUGAUUUCAUUUGUCCAUCUCCUGAUGAAGAUGAGUUUCAAGAGGAGACUCACUAUUCUAAGCUAACCAUUUUAAGUCCAUUCUCAUUUUGUGACAAUAAUUUAGGAGCACCAUAAAUAUAAACCACCUGUAGCCAAUGAGACAUAAGCAAGAUCAUCCGAAAUGAACUUCUGGAAAAUUUUCCUCAAUCUCAGAAGGAGAUUUAUUCCCUCCCCCUCACCAGAAUUUCCAAGGGUUUAUACCUUAAUGAAACUGUCACAAGUCCCCAAGGGGAGCCAACUUCUACUUCUAAUGGGGAGGAAUGCUUGCAUCUAUAGGUUCCAUUAGGUGCCUGCUGUGUGUCAAAUAUUUUCCUAUGCAUUUCACAUGCAUUUUUAGCACUUAACCUCCAUAUCCUCAGGACUAUCUCUAGAAACAUAGAUGCUUAAGAAAAUUAUCUUUUACACAGAGCUUGCUAAACAGAGGGUGGAAAUCAGACAGCUUGAACUUAAGAAUAGAGUAAAAAUGGAUAUUAAGAUACUUGAAAUAUUGAUUAGGAAUAUGUAUUGUGUCAAAUUCUGGGGUAAAAGAGAAAUAUAAGUUGAAAUUUUCAACUUUUUUUCUAUUUUUAAAACUGGAAUUAAUAAUCUGGGGUAGUAAGUUUCUUUGUUGCUGUUAAAAAAUAAAAAGAAACUAUAAGAGCACCUUUCAGUUGUACUCACAUGAAGCAAAGAUUCUCUGUAGUCCAGAGAAUUUUUGGAAUAGCUUCGAGAAGCUGCACAAAUCAAAACUGCUUUGAGGUCUUCGCUACUUACAUAAAGGAGAGACACAUUUACCUUUAAUAGAAAUGGGCUUUGUGGAGAGGAAAAGGAUGGAGAGAAAAUUGUCAGUUGAGCAUUAUUCACCCCUCUUGAACUCCCAGACUGAUUUUGAGCCUCUAUUUUCAUUUUGAUGUCUGCAGUCAAAAUCCAGGGAAUUUUCCAAAAUCCCUAAUAAAAUAUCGAAUAUUUGACAUCAUUCCUUCCCCAAGGGUAAGAAAUAUUUUCAAUAUUUGACAUUGUGCGGUUAAACAUAUUGCUGCCUUACGUAGAAAAGUGGGUUGAAUACUUCUCUCAUUGUUUUAGAAUUAUUUUCCCUUCUUCCAUUUGCUAUAUUUGAUCUCUAUAAUUCUGGUAUGUGUUUGGCCAUAGACUAGUGAUCAUAUCACCCAGGUCUUUUGUAACAUUCAUUCCUUCAGAACUUAACAAUGGGAAAUAACACAGGUGUCAAUUGGACAGAGAGAUUUGAGGGAAACUCUCAAAUUAGAGUGAAAGUUUCAAUCUGUCUACUGCGAAGAAGCCUCAUUCUUUCUGCUCCUGUAUCAUAACACAGAGGCCUAUGUGAAGUACAUAGACUAAAAUUAGUUCAAUCUAAAGGGAUUUAUUUUUACCAAUAAAAUUGUGUUUCUUCAAAAUGCAUAACAUUGAUACAGAUUUGAGA